RNAcentral lists this ribosomal RNA (460 nucleotides) under uncultured bacterium. RNAcentral describes it as "partial 16S ribosomal RNA". It matches the Rfam family "Bacterial small subunit ribosomal RNA", at positions 338 to 795 of the family's 1533-position model. The record is from RNAcentral.
CCUACGGGGGGCUGCAGUGAGGAAUAUUGGUCAAUGGACGAGAGUCUGAACCAGCCAAGUAGCGUGUAGGAUGACUGCCCUAUGGGUUGUAAACUUCUUUUAUAUGGGAAUAAAAUGUUCCACGUGUGGGAUUUUGUAUGUACCAUAUGAAUAAGGAUCGGCUAACUCCGUGCCAGCAGCCGCGGUAAUACGGAGGAUCCGAGCGUUAUCCGGAUUUAUUGGGUUUAAAGGGAGCGUAGGUGGAUUGUUAAGUCAGUUGUGAAAGUUUGCGGCUCAACCGUAAAAUUGCAGUUGAAACUGGCAGUCUUGAGUACAGUAGAGGUGGGCGGAAUUCGUGGUGUAGCGGUGAAAUGCUUAGAUAUCACGAAGAACUCCGAUUUCGAAGGCAGUUCACUGGACUGCAACUGACACUGAGGCUCGAAAGUGUGGGUAUCAAACAGGAUUAGAUACCCCUGUAGUC